Molecule: small nucleolar RNA, 138 nt
Organism: Tachyglossus aculeatus (Australian echidna)
Lineage: Eukaryota; Metazoa; Chordata; Mammalia; Monotremata; Tachyglossidae
Source: RefSeq, a predicted model, not a curated record
CCCCUCUCAGGAUCGCACCUGGAGAGUUUCCAGCACUCUACCAGUCCCUGCUAUGAGAGGGAGAGUCAAUCAGAAGCAUACCCAUUCCAUUACUAGAUUGGCCAGUGGCUAGCGAGUGGAAGGCAAUCUGCUACAAGU